This 54-nucleotide transfer RNA is filed under the name Gigaspermum repens. Its description in RNAcentral is "partial tRNA-Leu". The record is from RNAcentral. Lineage: Eukaryota; Viridiplantae; Streptophyta; Bryopsida; Gigaspermales; Gigaspermaceae.
GNCUAAAAUCCGUUGGCUUUAUUGACCGUGAGGGUUCAAGUCCCUCUACCCCCA